AGAAAACAGAACGAAUCGUUGAAAAAACAGUUGAACGAAAGUAAUGUAAACGUUUCGGAUGAACCUGUAGGGGCGGCUGCUCAAAUUCAGGAAAAAAUAGAACUGACCGUUAUAGGCACGAUUAAAACGAAAUUCAAGGAACGCAGAUGUGUACCGAGACAACCUGGCCUCUGUCCGUUAGCCCAAGCUCGCCUUACUAUCUCAAACUCUGUGUUUACAAAUCCCAAUCAUGCUCUCGAAGGCCUUGGCGAUUUCUCGCAUAUGUGGUAAUAAUUAUUAAUUGAAAUACAUUUCGUUCAUUUUAUGUUGAAACAUUAAAUUUUAAAUGUAAUUAAAUAUUUCAGGAUUUUAUUUCAUUUUCAUAAGAACGAAACUACACAUGUUCAUGCCAAAGUAUCGCCGCCGAGAUUAAACGGUUUGCGGACUGGUGUACUCGGCACUCGAUCUCCGCACAGACCCUCGCCUAUUGGUUUGUCUUUGGUGCAAAUUGAUAAAGUGGAAGGUGGAAUUAUUGUUACUUAUUGAUAUAUAUAUAUAUAUAUUGAUAUAUUGUAUUUGUUUAGUAUACAAAUUCUAAAUAAUUGGUUUGAUUGUUGACAUUUUAGGCAACUCUGUUUAUUUUUCUGGCGUUGAUAUGAUAGAUGGUACUCCAGUGUUUGAUAUUAAACCGUACAUCCCUCACUACGAUGCACCUGUUUCACUGAGAACUAAUCAACAUGUUACAUUGUUUGAUAAUGGCUCGCAUCAAUUACUUUUGGAUCCUUUGACAGCUGACCGAGAAGCACCAGACGGAGAGGAAACAGAUGCUUACGAUCAUAAUAUGCCUCUUUCCCCACUCCACACAAGGGUACAAUUUUUUACAAGUUAUUAUAGUGUUGUAAUCAUAUUAUUUUAUGUGUAUAAUAUAUAUAUUUUGAAAUAGGUUAGAGUUCCUUUAUGGAUUACUGAAACGGCAACAAAUCAACUUGAUGUGCAGUUCUCAUCGAGGGCUCGAGAAUUUUUAGAUAGAUUGGAGACUAAUGAUAUUGAAACAACUAUAGUGAGCGUUUUAAAAGAAGAUCCUCGGUCUGUAUAUGUCCGUGAGCGUUAUAGCAAUCAAUUUUACACGUUUUUAAUUGGAGGCUAUCAUGUGAGUUGCAAGUUUGAUGACAGUAGACAUAUAAUAAGUGUAUACAGAAUAUCACUCGUUGACAAUUUGGAUAACGUAGAAAAUCAAGAUGGUGCCCAUUACUUGUCUGUAGUUUAAUAACUAUUUUUAUCAUUAUGUUCCUUAUUUAACACUAUUUUACAAAAUAGUGAUUAUAGUAUAGCACUAAUUCCAAAGCUAUAAGUUUUUUUUAAAUAUAAUUUUUGAACUAUAAAUUAUUCAUUAACUUUAGUAAUUUAAUGUAAAUUUUUCAGCUGUUAUCAUUCUUAAGUUUGAAUUAGACUAUGCAAUCUCUUUUUUUUACAUUUAUUCCCUUAGUAAAUAUUGAACUAAUCGUACCUAAAAUAAGACUAUUGAAAAUUAAGUUAUAAGAGAUUGUUGUGCUGAAAUUUUGCAUUAGCAAUUUAAAUAUUGUCUAUAGGUCAUAGGCAAAUGUCGAUGUAAGACUUAAGUUAACCAGAUGAUCCAACAGAUUGCUUAAAAGUCAAACCUAACACAAUCAUAAUUAUUUGCAAUAUUUUACAUCAAUAUUCAUAUUUAUUUUUUCAAUCUUAACUAUCUGGUCAGCAUAUUUGUUAGUCAUAAUUCAGUAAAGUAUACAUGUUAACAUAAAAGUUUACCUCCUGAAGUUAUUUAUGAAAAUGUAGUUAUGUGUGAUAAUUAUUGUUGAUAAGUCAUGAAUUAAACAUAUUUGUAUGUGUAGAUUUUUAUUAGAAAAAUCUCCAAUUAUUGAUCUCCAAAAAUAAUAAUGGGCACCUCUGAUGUAUUAGGCUAAGUGAUGUACGUAUUAUACAUAUGUUUUUUUGAUGUUUU
This 1960-nucleotide long non-coding RNA is filed under the name Cinara cedri. Lineage: Eukaryota; Metazoa; Arthropoda; Insecta; Hemiptera; Aphididae. The record is from RNAcentral.